AGAGAGAGAGAGAGAGAGAGAGAGAGAGAGAGAGAGAGAGAGAGGAGAGCAAGUUGUGACAACAUUGGGAGUGAAAAGGGAAAAAAAUACAAAAUAAAUGCAAGAUAUGUAGAAACUUAUGGCAUAACAAGAAAACUUGCAAAAAUCCACCAUUACCUAGAGCUUCACCAAGUAAAGAGGGUAGACUAAAGAAAAGUUCUGCAACUCCAAAUGCUGAACCAGAAUCAAGUGCAAGGACAUCCAGAGGUGCAAAAAGGGGAAGAAAACCGGGGACCACAAAUAUGAGCCCUCCAUGCUCUAAUGCCGGACAAACUGCCAAUACCCUUCAUAUGAGUGGUUAGGGACAAACAACACAACAAACAUCAACCUCUAA
Long non-coding RNA from Asparagus officinalis (garden asparagus), 373 nucleotides. RefSeq lists it as uncharacterized. NCBI's taxonomy places the organism in Eukaryota, Viridiplantae, Streptophyta, Magnoliopsida, Asparagales, Asparagaceae. The record is from RefSeq and is a predicted model, not a curated record. The transcript is spliced from 3 exons.